AGACUUGAAAUAUCAAAAUUAAUCAAAAACAUAUUUAAGAGAUUAUUUGAAACCUAUUUGCAGAGUCAAAGGACUAUUUUUGCCACCGUCUCUAACUUUCGACAUCAAAAUGAUGUUCGCUACUCGAAGGAUUGAUUUUUUUUUUUUAAUUAAAAAGCCGCCCAGAAAGCCAUUUAUUAACAAAUAUGCAAAUUGGAUAAAAUCCGAUUGGCCCAAGUCUAAUAACAAAAAUCCGACAUAAAUCUACUUAGGAAACUUCUAGUAGACAAAUAAGGAAAGCCAUUGGUCACUCCUUCAACUGUUCAUCUUCUUCGUUGUUUCCAUAGCUGGUCGCCGAUUUUCAUCACCGUCCUCAGCUGCUGAAACAUAGCUCAUUGAGCUCCAAUAAAGCUUGUUAAAGUCGUAACCCAAGCAAACAAAGAAAUCAAAAGCUCGAACAUCCAACUAGCUAGAUUCAAAGUCAAUCCGUUUGAAGCUCAAGUAGAUAACACCAUGGAAACUCAAAAAAUUCUCACAAGUCCCGUGUAUCUGACUCAGUGAAGACUCCUUCAACUUCAAACACUAUCAAUUUUGUAGAUCUAAAACCUCGAAUGAGCACCUCAAGGUGCUAAUACCACUGUUCAGGGAUUCAAUCUUUCAAUUUCAGUUACUCUACCAGACUUUUUCAUCUCUGCAAUUGCCCAUGCAUCUGGAUCACCCAACACUUUGCCGCUUGAGAGAGUUCUUGGAGGAUACAGGUUCAGACGCUCAGUUCCCAGAUGGUGCAUAGACGUUCUAGCUUAUCAGUCGUAGCAGUGGUGAGAUUACUCUUAUCAGGCUGCAGAUGAACUUCCAAAAGCACUAGAUGUCAUGAACAUACAGAACAAAUCAAAUGGUGAUGAUACUUUGUAAAUGGACUCAGGUUCAACUAGCCACAUGACAAACAAUUCAGGACAAGAAGACAAGGACACUACAGGAUAAGGGAUCUAAGAGGAAUGAACCCUAUGCCUUGGAAGCCAACAACCUCUAUGCAUUGACUGCUAUACAAGACUGGAAGACAUCAGACAAUAUUUGGCAUAAUAGAUUAGGACAUCCUAGUUUAAAGAUUUUAAAAUUUUUAAUAGUAGUAGUUGCAUUAAUGUUAGUAGUUGGAAUAAAAUACCUGUUGUUUUCUCUAGUUGUCAGUUGGACAAAGGUUGUAAACUACCAUUUGGCUUGAGAAUAAAAUUGAGAAAGAACCUUUGUUAAAAAUUCAUUAUGAUAUUUGGGGUCCUACACCUAUUGAAUCCA
Molecule: long non-coding RNA, 1269 nt
Organism: Capsicum annuum
Lineage: Eukaryota; Viridiplantae; Streptophyta; Magnoliopsida; Solanales; Solanaceae
Exons: 6
Source: RefSeq, a predicted model, not a curated record